Molecule: ribosomal RNA, 350 nt
Filed under: uncultured Campylobacter sp.
Lineage: Bacteria; Pseudomonadati; Campylobacterota; Epsilonproteobacteria; Campylobacterales; Campylobacteraceae
Description: bacterial SSU rRNA
Rfam family: Bacterial small subunit ribosomal RNA
Source: RNAcentral
UGCUCCGGCCGCAUGGCGGCCGCGGGAAUUCGAUUAUGGCUGUCGUCAGCUCGUGUCGUGAGAUGUUGGGUUAAGUCCCGCAACGAGCGCAACCCUCGUGUUUAGUUGCUAACAGUUCGGCUGAGCACUCUAAACAGACUGCCUUCGUAAGGAGGAGGAAGGUGAGGACGACGUCAAGUCAUCAUGGCCCUUAUGGCCAGGGCUACACACGUGCUACAAUGGGUAGGACAAUGAGAUGCAAUACCGUGAGGUCGGAGCAAAUCUAUAAACCUACUCUCAGUUCGGAUUGUUCUCAUGCAACUCGAGAACAUGAAGCUGGAAUCAGCUAGUAAUCGUAGAUCAGCAUUGCU